Molecule: ribosomal RNA, 494 nt
Filed under: uncultured bacterium
Lineage: Bacteria
Description: partial 16S ribosomal RNA
Rfam family: Bacterial small subunit ribosomal RNA
Source: RNAcentral
GACGAACGCUGGCGGCGUGCUUAACACAUGCAAGUCGAACGGUGAAGCGCCUUCCUUUUUGGUGGGUGUGGAUGAGUGGCGAACGGGUGAGUAACACGUGAGUAACCUGCCCCCUUCUUCUGGAUAACCGCAUGAAAGUGUGGCUAAUACGGGAUAUUCUGGGUCUGUCGCAUGAUGGGUCUGGGAUAGAUAUUGUUUCGGUAGGGGAUGGGCUCGCGGCCUAUCAGCUUGUUGGUGGGGUGAUGGCCUACCAAGGCGGUGACGGGUAGCCGGCCUGAGAGGGUGGACGGUCACACUGGGACUGAGACACGGCCCAGACUCCUACGGGAGGCAGCAGUGGGGAAUAUUGCACAAUGGGCGCAAGCCUGAUGCAGCGACGCCGCGUGAGGGAUGGAGGCCUUCGGGUUGUGAACCUCUUUCGCCAGUGAAGCAGGCCUGCCUCGUUUGUGGGUGGGUUGACGGUAGCUGGAUAAGAAGCGCCGGCUAACUACGUG